GACCUGCACAGCCCAGAACUAGGACGAGACGAUGGCCGCAUCACAGCCUCAGAUCUGUCUCCUUGGGACAGCUUCGUGCUGAGCCCUCAGGACCAGUGUUUCUCCCAAGGAAGUGACAAACUCAUCUCAGGUUUUCCAAGUCCCUUCAAGUAACCCAGUUUGAGGAAAAACAGAGUUCCCAUCCGGACUGCAAAGCAGCGUCGGCAAGGACAAGAGACACACCACAGCUCUCCUUCUCAUCACUCCUCCCCAGUGCUGGUGGGAGCCUUGCAGACCCAUGUGGUUUUAGAAAAUUCAUCUCCCCCAAGUCACAGAUAUUGUGGUUUUCCAGUCCUGAAACAUCGAUACGGUCUGAUAGAGUCAGAGGCACGGUGCUUGGCGGGUAGCGAGGAAGACUUUGGUGACGUAAGCAGAACGUGGUCCACGCCUCCGUCUCCGAGGGGAAAGGCAGGCGCAGCAUCAGACACGGGUGGCAGUGAGUCCCAGCGGGACAGACAGUCUUGGGUGGAAAUAAAGAGUUACUAGAUACUGUAA
Non-coding RNA from Oryctolagus cuniculus (rabbit), 534 nucleotides. The record is from RefSeq and is a predicted model, not a curated record. NCBI's taxonomy places the organism in Eukaryota, Metazoa, Chordata, Mammalia, Lagomorpha, Leporidae.